CAGAGCCCGGUAAUUGCGAAAGGCCUAAGCCCUUUUUCUCAGAGGUUCAAACCCUCUCCUUAGCU
Molecule: transfer RNA, 65 nt
Filed under: Salvelinus fontinalis (brook trout)
Lineage: Eukaryota; Metazoa; Chordata; Actinopteri; Salmoniformes; Salmonidae
Also listed under: 1 other name
Description: tRNA-Leu
Source: RNAcentral